GUCAAGUUCACACAUAUAAUAUAGUCACAGGGAAUGAAAAUCACUUCGCUGUAAGCAUCAAUUCAUUAUAAGCGUGUUUGCUAUAACCAUGUUUUAAUGUAUAUAUUAAUCUUUUAGCACUGUGAGAAUUACAGUCAAACUUCGUUAUCUCGAACUAGAUGGGACUGUUUACAAACUUCAAGAUAUAUGAUCCAUUUAUAUAUAACAAGAUUAAUAUAGUUUAUAAACAAUUUAUUGAAACAUUCCAUAUUUGACACUGGGGACUACUAACUGUUGACAGCUAAGAUUAAAAAAUGUAAGUAAAUGACAAAUACUGUCUGAAAGGAAAAAACACACCCUGUAAUCGGGUGACAUAACUUCAAACAAAAUACAUGGAUACUUAGAUGACAAAAUUAACCUUCUAAAGAGAGUUUAAAAUACAUACAAAUUAUCCCCUUAGAAAACAUGGGGGGAAUUGGUGAAAAUUCAAAAAUUUAAACAACAAGACAAUGUAUUUGAGAUAUUUGAGGGUAAAAUACUCUAAAAAUAAGCGGUUUGGACUUACAAAUCACUUUGACAUAUCCACUGUAUUCGAGAUAUCAGUAUAUAUAAAACUAUAACAACAGCGGUGUUCUAUUCAUAAAAUGAGUUUAAAAGGGCUUGAUGGUCAUGGCCAUUUGUAGACUGUAUUUAUCUCCUUUAGAUGAAUUUUGAAGAGCUCUGUAUAAAGAUGCUAAAAAAUAAUCAAAUUUUAAAUCUAAAAAAAAUGUAUUUCUUUUUUAGUAAUAAAUAGCUUAUGGCCAAACAUAAUUUAUUGAAAUUUUAAAGCAGAUCUGAUGGAUCAAUUGUUGACCAUCACGCCUCCUUAAGGUAUUCAAUGUAUAAUGAAGGGAUAUUGAACAAUUGUGAAUCCUUUUAAACUAGUUAAAUAUGUAUUGCUAGAUAACAAUAAAAGUGAAAUUAACCAAACUCACAAGACUGACAACAUGUAAAAAGCCGGUCAUUUUGAACCUUAAAAUGUUUUAUAGAGUUAUCUCCCCUUGACGAAAAAAAAAGAAAUUUUUAAUUUCUUCAAAAUAUCUGCAAUAAAUGACUCAUUUUAUUUCAAAUCUAAAUAAAGAGAAAGUUCAUGCAUGUAUUAACCAAGAGAGUUUUACAAAUUUAAGUUACUUUUUACAAUAUCUUAAUAAAACAUACAAUGCCCAUAGACUUCAAUGCAAAUUUUAACAUGUAAUUGAUUGGACUUAAAUCAAAAUUUUGAAAAUUCCUUUGAUGGGGUAUUUUUAUUAAAUAACACCUUCAAAAUGAUAUCAUGAUUAAUGAUAUCGGACCAUUCAUUUAUUAGGUACAAAAUGUGGUUGUUAUACAUUGAAUACCUUAAUACAUUGUUGAUCUCUCAGGUAUCAAUUGUUAUGCAAAUUUCUGAAUUGAUUCAGUUGAAGUAUUUCUAUUUGUUUGUGAAUCCAGCUAAAAUGAAUGUUUCUAAAAUUAUUAAUGAAGACCUUUUAAGACUGUUCCAUUUAUGUGAUAUUCUUAUGGCAUGUCUGAGAAUUAAAUUAAGAAGAUGUUUAUGAGCAUCUAGUUAUGAUUUCAGGUUUUUGUAUACAGGUGUUCUUAAAAUUGUUCAUGAAACAAUUGGGGAAAAGCUUGGUUAAACUUUACCUGUUCAAAAUGUAAGAGAAAUGUUUAUCUUUUUUAAUGUUAACAACAGAUUAUUUCAAAGUGCAAUAUCGUUGUACAUGUAUCUAUCAUCUGUUAACUUUCAUAAACCUAAGAGACAUUUUUUUUCUCUCUACCAGUGAGGUUGUAACGAAUGAGUGCUAGAAUUUUUCAUAUAAUUUAUUAAAGUCUACAGCAAUGUGCUAUUUAUAGAAUGUAGAUAUUUAUUUACAAUUGUUAAUUUAUACAAAGUUUAUGGUUGGGGUUUUUGUGUGAAUUUUUGUAUCAUUAAGAAAUCCAUAUAUUGGAUUGAUAUCUCCUUUGUGAUAGAAUCUUGGAUUUUUUUUUUUCCUUUUGUUGAAGUUAUAUAUCUCAGUCCCUUCGUUUUCUUUAUUUUGUUGAUUUAUAUUUCAAUUUAUUAGUGCUCUUAUUAUUUAUUUUUACUUCAAUUGAUAUAUACAAUAUACAAUGUUUUGUUGAUUUGUUUAAGAACCUGUAUUUUCUCUCUUUGGCAAUAUCAAACAAUGAAUAGCUAUGUUACAUGUAUUUACCAAUAAGUACAUGCAGGUUUAAAUGUCAGGUGUCAGAAUUUUUUUCUCUCAAUAUUUACAAAAAGUUGAUGUUCCUAUAAAAAACACAUAUGAAUAUAACUGUAGUAUCUAUAAAAUGAUAUUUUGUAACUUAUGGUACUUCUGUCUCAAAGAGGUGUGAACUAUUCUGAGAGCUAUAUUUGUUAAGACUUUCAAUAGAUGAGUGUAUAAUGUUUUUGAAUACUCUAAGAAAGAGUCAUCCCUGAAAGGGAGGCUUCUCUGUUCAGAUUGACCUGAAGAUUGAUGCAAACAGGAAUAAGAGAUGUGUCAAGAAUCAUAUGAUCCAAUACAUUCCAGUUGACUUUGUGCUUGGCUAUCAGCAUCAGAACUUUGAUAUAACAUGUACAUUCCAUUGGAUAAUCUUGUUAGCUAUGGUUUUAGUUUUCUUUAUUUUUUUCUUUCUUACUUUCCUCUGAAGCUAAAAAUCAUCCAAGAUUGUGUAACAUACUAAGUUCUUUAGGUAUGUAUUGUGUAUAACUUUGAGGACUUUUUUCAAAACAUUAAUUUUGUACUCAUAUAGUAAGAUAAUUUAGAGUUAUCUGAACUUUUUAUUUUGGUUAUGAUAAGUGUUUAUGUAAGUUUAGAUAAUAAUGCAAUGAUAGUGUAUAUAAAUAAUGCAGUGUUAUAUUCUCUAGUUAGCCAUAGCUGUAUGGUAGUAAACCAAAUGCAGUAAAACAAAGCUAUCCUUAAAAUGGAUAUAAAAGAUUCCCGCUUAAACAAUUUUCAUGAAGUAGGAAUACACGUAAUUCUAUAGGAAAGAGUGUCUGUAACAGGUAAAACUGACUGCCCUUGGUGCUUAUUGUGAGCCCUGUUUAUUGUGUGUAGUACAUGCUUUGUUCACACAGGGAGUCCAGUGGUACAUGUAGCCAUUGUCUGUUGUGUAGACUAGAACUGUAGUGCAUCAAUUUUCAGUGUUACCGUCACACAAUGCAAUAAACUCAUCAACAGGCCAUACUCUUCUUGUCUUAUUGAAGCAGAAGCAGUCCUAGCCAAAGUGCAUGCAGGAUCAAGUGACAGAGUUAUUGCUCUGAUUGCAUUGAUCAGUAGAACAUCAAUACUAUACUCUUCUUAUUGAAGCAGUAGCAGUCCCAGCUAAAGUGCAUCUAUGAUCAAGUGUCAGAGUUAUUGCUGUGACUGCAUUGAUCAAUAGCUGAUACAUUUACAUCAAUUAAGAUAGAAGUCAUCAAAGUUUUACAGUUACCGAUUUAUUUCUUAGAAGGGGGAAAAAACGAUAUAACCAAUGUUUGCAAAUGUUCCCUUAUGAACUGCUAAGAUUCAAAAUUCUCAAAUGACUGUUCAAAAAGGACACUGGAAAAUUGAUGAAAAUAAAAAAUACCGGUAGAUAAUAUAGAAAAUCUUGAACAGUUGCACUGUUUACAUGGCAUUAAAAUUUGAUUACAUUAAAGUCAUCUAGACAAACUUCUGGGCAUAGAAUGCGGAGAACUCUGUUUUGAGCUGUUGAUACAUCAGCCUGGGUAACUCAGUUUCAUUAAGCGCAUAUUAUGGUCUUUGAUACUCUACUUGACAUAUCUUUAUAUGUCGAGAGAUGGAAGGAACACUUCUGUUCAGUUCUCCUGUUCAGUAGAGAAGAUCCUGUAAACAAGGCAGAAAUUAAAAUGGAGCAACCAACAGAAUUAGAUACAGAAUGUUCAGAAAUAACGGAGGAAGAGAUCAGACAAUAUAUUAGAAAAUUAAAGAAAAACAAACCAACAGGAUCAGAUAACAUCAAGGUAGAAGUUAUAAAGAAAGUGAAGACAUAAGUGCUAAUCUUUUACACACUCUCUUUAACAAGAUUUGGGGAAAGAAAGUGUCUGAACAGCAGAAAAAUUCACCUUCUAAAUGAUCUUGAAUUUAUUUUCUCAAAAGAAAUCACAAAAUUGAUAUCAAAUCAAGGGAUAAUUUUUUUUUCCUCGAAAGAAAUCACAAAACUGAUAUCAAAUCAAGGGUUAAUGCUUAUUUUCAAUUAAUAAACAACAACAAAUUCUAUGCUUGUAACUGUGUCACAAUUUUUUAAUUGCAUAUAAAGAUGUACAGCAUUACAAAUACUACUGCAUUAUAUUAAUUAUGAAAUGACAUCUAGAGAUCUAAAGAAUUGAAAAAAUAAACACCCAUUUCCAUUCUUGUUUUGAA
Long non-coding RNA from Magallana angulata, 4358 nucleotides. RefSeq lists it as uncharacterized. NCBI's taxonomy places the organism in Eukaryota, Metazoa, Mollusca, Bivalvia, Ostreida, Ostreidae. The record is from RefSeq and is a predicted model, not a curated record. The transcript is spliced from 2 exons.